This 440-nucleotide ribosomal RNA is filed under the name uncultured bacterium. RNAcentral's name for it is "partial 16S ribosomal RNA". It matches the Rfam family "Bacterial small subunit ribosomal RNA", at positions 338 to 795 of the family's 1533-position model. The record is from RNAcentral.
CCUACGGGGGGCAGCAGUGGGGAAUAUUGGGCAAUGGACGCAAGUCUGACCCAGCAACGCCGCGUGAGUGAAGAAGUAUUUCGGUAUGUAAAGCUCUAUCAGCAGGGAAGAAAAUGACAGUACCUGACCAAGAAGCCCCGGCUAACUACGUGCCAGCAGCCCCGGUAAUACGUAGGGGGCAAGCGUUAUCCGGAUUUACUGGGUGUAAAGGGAGCGUAGACGGUUAUGUAAGUCUGGAGUGAAAGCCCGGGGCCCAACCCCGGGACUGCUUUGGAAACUGUGUAACUGGAGUACAGGAGGGGCAGGCGGAAUUCCUGGUGUAGCGGUGAAAUGCGUAGAUAUCAGGAGGAACACCGGCGGCGAAGGCGGCCUGCUGGACUGCAACUGACGUUGAGGCUCGAAAGCGUGGGGAGCAAACAGGAUUAGAUACCCUAGUAGUC